CAAGUCGAACGAUGAAGUUCCUUCGGGAAUGGAUUAGUGGCGAACGGGUGAGAAACACGUGAGAAACCUGCCUUUCAUUUUGGGAUAACUCCGGGAAACCGGAGCUAACACCGAAUACUCCGUCUCGGCGGCAUCGCUGAGCCGGGAAAAAAUUUUGAUGAAAGAUGGUCUCGCGGCCUAUCAGCUAGUUGGUGAGGUAAUGGCUCACCAAGGCGACGACGGGUAGCCGGCCUGAGAGGGCGACCGGCCACACUGGGACUGAGACACGGCCCAGACUCCUACGGGAGGCAGCAGUGGGGAAUAUUGGGCAAUGGGCGCAAGCCUGACCCAGCGACGCCGCGUGAGGGAUGAAGGCCUUCGGGUUGUAAACCUCUUUCAGUAGGGAAGAAGCGAAAGUGACAGUACCUAAAGAAGAAGCACCGGCUAACUAUGUGCCAGCAGCCGCGGUAAUACAUAGGGUGCAAGCGUUGUCCGGAAUUAUUGGGCGUAAAGAGCUCGUAGGUCGUUUGCCACGUCGAUUGUGAAAAUCUGAGGCUCAACCUCAGACCUGCAGUCGAUACGGGCAAACUAGAGUGUGGUAGGGGAGACUGGAAUUCCUGGUGUAGCGGUGGAAUGCGCAGAUAUCAGGAGGAACACCAAUGGCGAAGGCAGGUCUCUGGGCCAUAACUGACACUGAGGAGCGAAAGCGCGGGGAGCGAACAGGAUUAGAUACCCUGGUAGUCCGCGCCGUAAACGAUGGGCACUAGCUGUGAGAACCUUCCACGGUUUUCGCGACGCAGCAAACGCAUUAAGUGCCCCGCCUGGGGAGUACGAUCGCAAGAUUAAAACUCAAAGGAAUUGACGG
RNAcentral lists this ribosomal RNA (844 nucleotides) under uncultured bacterium. Its description in RNAcentral is "bacterial SSU rRNA". It matches the Rfam family "Bacterial small subunit ribosomal RNA", at positions 58 to 916 of the family's 1533-position model. The record is from RNAcentral.